AGUUCUUUUUUGUGUGUGUGUGUGUGUGUAUUACACGGGAAAAAAAAACCUAGGGAGAAAUUGACUGCCGGCUGGGAAUAAAAUUGGAAGAGAGGCCAAUAAAAAAGGCAGCCAACGAAGGGGAAAUAGAUACGCAACUGCCGGCUGGGGGAAAAAGGAGAGAAGAACUUGGGCAAAAAUUUGUCUUCUUGGGGAAAUUAAUAAGGCAGCAACUUGGAUUUUCUGAAAGAAAAAAAGAGGCAGCUGGAGGUUGAAAAUUGAGAGACACACAUAUAUACAUAUUGGCGGUGGGAGAGAGAAAGGGAAUAAAAAUUUGUUGCUGGAGGAAUUACACAUAUAUACAUUGGGAAGAAUAUUGGCAGCUUCUGUGUUUAUUUUGGAGGAGACAAAAGGCUAGCUGCUUGGAGAUUGAUUUACGCGCCAAUUAGGGGACAAAGGUGACGGCUGAAUUGGGCAUAAAUUUGAGAAAUAAACAUGCAAAUUGAAAGGAAUUUUGAAGAAACAGCACGACCACGACAGAUUCACUUUGGGAAUAUUAAUAAUGCUCCAUCAAUUGGUGAUCUCCUUCCACUUCUAUGUGUUUAAUUCCAAUGUGAUGUUAGGCUAAAUCUUGUCAUGUAUUUGAUGGAUGACAAAGUUGUUUAAUUCUUAGUUUUAAUUCAAAACUUGUGUUUUUGUCUUUAACUCGUGUUGUGAUUCCAGGAAUAUGCUGAUUUAUAUUGUUUUAAUGUUUGCUUAUCAUUAGGACAAUAAGUUGCUUAUUCGUUGUGUUGAAAAACUCACGAUAGGUAGAACACUAUUAUUGAGACACACAGACAAAAAAUGUUAGGAAUAACAAUUAUGACGUAU
RNAcentral lists this long non-coding RNA (849 nucleotides) under Olea europaea subsp. europaea. The record is from RNAcentral. Lineage: Eukaryota; Viridiplantae; Streptophyta; Magnoliopsida; Lamiales; Oleaceae.